Molecule: long non-coding RNA, 1266 nt
Organism: Leopardus geoffroyi (Geoffroy's cat)
Lineage: Eukaryota; Metazoa; Chordata; Mammalia; Carnivora; Felidae
Exons: 2
Source: RefSeq, a predicted model, not a curated record
GUAUACAAAUGACACUGAAUGGACACCUGGGCCAUUUGGCAGCAGAGGACCACAUAGGCCAAAUGAAGAAGGUACUGUUAUGGAUGAUUAUACUAUAGGGAUUGAAGGUCAUCCUAUAUGUUUUGGAUACAGGAAACACAGCCUCAAAACUUGUAUUUAUUUAGAGCACAACCUGGCCUGUGGCUGCCGUUUCAGGUGUCUUGACCAUGGCAACAUUGUUCAGAAAUGUAUCUGAUGGACCACACUCUAGGCGAGUUCCUCAUCUAUCCCGAUCCUGACCGGUUUGCUGGAAUGCUUGUUGCAGCUCUCAUAGGCAUUAUUGCUGUGACUGUGGCCGCAGCUACUGCGGCUGUCUCGUUGCACCAAUCUGUGCAGACAGUACAAUUUUUACAACAAUGGCAUGAGAAAUCGCACCAACAUUGGAAGACACAGCAGGAUAUUGACAGUAGACAGUCCAGUGAGAUUGCAGGCCUACAACAGGCUGUGUGAUGCUGCUGGGAGAUCAGUUACUGAGCCUACAAAGACAAGUAUCAUUACAAUGUGAUUGGAACACUACAUCAAUAUGUGUAACCCCAUUACCAUUUAAUAACACUAAAUUUCCAUGGAAUGAUGUUAGAGACACUUGCUCGGACAAUCUAACAUGUCUAUGGACAUUCAACAUCUGCAAGCACAGAUAUAUGAGACUUUCAAAAGAAAUCUGGACAUGUUAUCUGGAUCUAAGAUCUUAGAAAGUAUAUCAGAGGGAUGAGGAAUAUUGAACUCUAUAGAGCAUGUUAAGAUUUUUAGCUUCUCUACUGCUAUUCUGUUUGUGUUAAUAUGCGGUGUAUUUAUCUUUGCAUGUACAGUCUGGUGCCAGAGACGAGGAGGCUGUCAAUGUAUCAACCAACAGUUCGGGAUAUGCAAUGUCCUCCUACAGUCCAUCGUAUACAGACAGAAAGGGGGAGAUGCUGGAGAACAGGCUGGAAGCACCAUAAGAAUGUCCUGAAGGAAAGGGACAAAGCAGCAAGAAACUGAAAGAAGUUUCAUUCCCAGGACAGAAAGCCACUGGGAGUUAUGGUUCUCUCCAGAAGGACAUCAUCCGGGCGCCACCCUGGGGAUAAGAAUGUUUUAUCUGGUGCCAGAUGUACUCAUGACCCAGUAUGGAAAACACUGCAGGUACGUGACCUGUCAAGAUGCCAAAUACUAUGUUAUAUGUGCUUGCUGUUGUCAACAAGUUGCAAAAAUGAAAGAGGCUUGAGCCAAGGGACCGAGGCUUUGGCUCCUGGA